UCGUUCUUCCAUCUAGCUUUUAGCCUGCGAUUAGCUUUUUUUGUUUCUUCCUUGCAGUCAGAGUAACCUCCGCUUUUCGCCAGUCCCUCACAAGUUUUUCGCUCACUCCAAACUUUCUUUCUGCUGCUCGAUUACCGUUUUCAGCUGCAUAUUUCACUACUUGCAACUCGUAAUCUGCAGAAUAUGAUU
Molecule: long non-coding RNA, 189 nt
Organism: Sphaeramia orbicularis (orbiculate cardinalfish)
Lineage: Eukaryota; Metazoa; Chordata; Actinopteri; Kurtiformes; Apogonidae
Exons: 3
Source: RefSeq, a predicted model, not a curated record